This 253-nucleotide ribosomal RNA is filed under the name uncultured bacterium. RNAcentral's name for it is "partial 16S ribosomal RNA". It matches the Rfam family "Bacterial small subunit ribosomal RNA", at positions 524 to 776 of the family's 1533-position model. The record is from RNAcentral.
UACAGAGGUGGCAAGCGUUGUUCGGAAUUACUGGGCGUAAAGGGCGCGUAGGCGGGGAGGUAAGUCGGGUGUGAAAUCCCUCGGCCCAACCGAGGAACUGCGCCCGAGACUGCUUCUCUUGAGUCCCGGAGAGGAAGAUGGAAUUCCCGGUGUAGCGGUGAAAUGUGUAGAGAUCGGGAGGAACACCGGUGGCGAAGGCGGUCUUCUGGACGGUGACUGACGCUGAGGCGCGAAAGCGUGGGGAGCAAACAGG